CAAUUGUUCUAGUGGCUAUUGAAAUUUGCUCCGUCUAUCUCCAUCACUCACUUAAUGACAACUGUAAGUAAACGGUCUUGCGUGGACAACGAAAAACCCAGCUGGCCGGUUAAAUCCUUCCAUGUAGUGUUGUCAAGUGCCAACGCAUCUUCCACAUCAGCGAAACUCGCUCCUAAACAUGGCUUUAACCUCAAACGACUUCACCUCCACCAUACACGACUUAACAGGCCUCCAUUUUAUCCGAGUCGUGCAAAUUUUCUGAGUUUAUCUUCCCUACCAGCUCAGAUCAUGAAGAACCCUAGGCAUCUUCCCCAGAUUGUUUGAUCCACAACGGCACCUUAAGAACCCUAAACCCCCAGAAAUCGACGAUUCACGAGUGAUGUGAGAAAAUGUUCGGACAUUGUUCUUACUUACAAUGCCCAAUUUUCAAUCAGUAGCCCUAGCCCCCCAAAAAUCGAGUGGCGAAGAAUUAAAUAACGACUCCACCAUUAAGCUACAAUCUCGAAGGCGUGCAUAUGGGAGUUUUAGAUGAAGGUAAUGUCGCAAUGUUUGUGGGAUUAUUCGACUGAUCUAAUAUUUGCCUGGCAACUACGAGGUUGGUCUUGCCUGAAGGUCAAAUAUCAUUUUGCUUGGGAAAUAUUCUUUAUGUUAAGACUUGAAACAGCUAUCAGAAAAAAAUGUAGAUUAUGCAUUAAAGUUUGAUGAACAUGUAUAAUUAGUUUUUCUAACAUUUUUUUAGAAUAUUAAACACUACAUUUAGAUAAAAUCCAUGAUUAGUAUGGAACCUGUAUAUUAUAAUUUUUGUGUGGUCUCACUUAAAUUGAAUGGUAUGGUCCUGUAGUGAGUUGGUCCAAUUUCGAGUUCAUUACACCAUCGAUGUAAAUAUUGAAUAUCUUCAAUGUAAAUAUUUGCUUCUUCAUAGUUACUGUCCAAAUGUUAAUGCAUUCUCAUUUUAUGACAAAGUAUGUGGAUGAUCCAAAUGGAUUCUGAUAAUGAUUUCGAGUCUGAUCAAGACGAUAUGGAAUAUGAUAGAAAUAUCAUCGAUGGGAUUGAAAUGGGAUUUGCUGAUUGUGGAGAUCAAGUUUCGGUUGAUCGGGAAGAUGUGAAUGAUAUGGAGAUAGAUGAUUUGGAAAUCCAUUGUCAGAGGAACUACUAUCCCAAUGUUCAUCUGAUGAGGAUGGUGGGCAUAAAUUUCAUGAAUUUUUGUUCAAUUCGGACACGAAGGACCCACAUUUUGAUGUGGGGCAAAUUUUCUGUUUCGCUACAGAGUUCCGAGAGUCAGUUGGACCUACAAUGCAUUAAAUAAGUAUAAUGUAAAGUUCAGGCGAAUGAGCGAAGUAGGGAACAUGCCAUAUGCACACUGAGAUGUAAAUGGAGGAUUUGGGCUUCAAAGAUGGAUGUGUCAGAGAGGUUGCAAGUGAUAUCUUACACCUUGGAGCAUAGUUGUAGCCGGUCCAAUUUAAUAGACAUUGCAACUACAUACUUUUGACGAAUCGAUAUUAAACAGUUCAAAGCGGACCACAACUAGAAGAUUGAGCUCAUUUUGGCCACAGUGAAUAAGGAUUUGUGCACAGAUAUUAGUAGGAAUGUGGCAUGGAAGAUGCGGAGAUAUGCCAAAGAACCUUCGAUCGGGACUUGGCAAGAGCAGUUAUGCAGUUGCACUCUUAUGCAGUCGAGGUACUACGUACAAACGCGGACUCGACGGUCAUUAUAGCAUUAUAGGAGCAAGUUUUCUAGGGCACGUACAUCUGCUUUAAUUGUUGGAAGAUUGGUUUCAGGAAUGGUUGUAGGAAGGUGGUUGGAGUUGAUGUUCACUUAAGGAGUUGUUUCGGAGGGAUCAUGUUAACUGCAGUUGGAUUUGAUGCUUAUGACUACAUCUGUCCUAUCGCAUAUGCAGUUGUCCAAAAAGAAAAUACACCAACUUGGCUAUGGUCUUUAACCUAUCUUUCAGAAGAUAUUAGAAUUGGACAUAUUAUAGGUUGAACCUUGAUGAGGGACUGACAGAAGGGUUUACAAAAUGUGAUAGCUGAAUUGUUUCCCGAGGCCGAGCAUAGAUUCUGUGUAUGGUAUAUGUACAUGAACUUUUUCAAUACUGGGUACAAGUAAAAAAUUCUUAAGAAUCACUUAUGGCGUGCUGCCAAGUCGACCAUAAUUGCUGACUACAGACAUUGGAUGCUGCAAAUUCGUCGACUUAGUGAGGAAGGAUAAAAUUGGCUAAUGGAAAGUAAUCCAUAUGAAUGGAGGAGAUCACAUUUCUCGGUUCACUCAAAGAGCGACAUAUUACUGAAUAAUUUAUGCGAAGUGAUUAGCAAAACUUAAUGAAGUGAAAGGGAGAAUAUGAUUCUAUCAGUGCUUACCUCACUUCAAUUAGCCUUCAUGACUGGGAUUCGGAAGUGUCGAAACAUGAUGAUGCAUGACGUUUGUGUCUGAAGAUUAAGAAAAAAUUAGAUAAGAUUGUUGAGAAAUCGCGUGAAUGCUUGUUGCAUUUGUCUGGGGGGCUAAAUGGCAAGUUGAUUGUAGUUUUGGGACAUAUGUUGUUGACCUACAAGAGAGAACUUGUACAUGUAGAGAGUGAGAGUUUACGGGCAUACCUUGCAUGCAUGCUGUGGCAGUUAUUAGAGAAUGUAGAAAUGAUUCGGAGGAGUUCGUUGAUAACUGCUACACGAUAAAGACAUAGAUGAGAUGUUAUAAUAGUGUCACGAACCCAAUUGACGGUAUGCGAUUAUGGCUACAGUUGGAUAUGCUUGCUAUCACUCCACCAUUGUGGAUAGUUCCGCAAAAGGGAAGGAGGCAAGUAAAUAGGAAAAAAGGGGCAGACGAAGAGGUGAUAGUACAUUCAAGGAAGAAAACCUACAUUCAGAGAAAGGGACGAUUGCAGAUUACAUGCUCAACUUGUGGGAGGAAAUCUCCCCAAUGGUUACUGAACUUUGCAGAAAAUCCCCUAGGAGAUCACUGAACUUCAAUACGUCCGUAAAUGGUCACUGCACUUUUCUGAAGUCCCCCCAAGAGGUCACCGAAUUUCAAAACGUUCCUGGAUAGUCACUGAACUUUGCCGAAAUUCCCUAGAGAGGUCACUUAACGUUGCAAAUUGGGACCCCAUACAUAACUAAUUUAGUGACCUCCUAAGAACUUUUUGUAAAGUUCAGUGACCAUCCAGGAACAUUUUGAAGUUCGAUGACCUCUUGGGGGGACUUGGAAAAGUUCAGUGACCAUUUAGAGACGUAUUGAAAUUUGGUAACCUUCUAGAUAAUUUUUUGCAAAGUUCAGUGACCAUUGGGGGAGGUUUCCUCCAACUCGUGGCUUACAUGAUCACAACAAAACAAUAUCAUUUACAAAAAGAUGCCUUGUUCGAUGAUUGGUUCGAAGGGGAAUAAGAAGUGGUUGGAAGUGGAUGCAACACAGUCGUGGAUGUACAAAUAAGUACAUGUCGAAUUCAAUUUUUUAUACUUCUACAUAUUGGCUGGAAAGUGUGACUAAUAAUUGAUUACGGUUUAUGCGUAAGGGUAAAAUAAAUGGUUGCACAAAAAUAUAUAGUAGAGCAUGAAUCACGGCCAGGAAGUGUUUGAGCUGGACCAACAGUAACGGUUGGUAAAUCAAACGGGUGACCAUCAAAGUUCACAUGAUAAAUGUGAACUUUGACGAUUGACGACUAGCAUGACAUAACAGAACUGGAAAUCAGGCAAAUUAGGGACGACUAGGGCUUGAGCACGUCGUAGGGUGAAAUUUGCGAAAUCAAAAGAUGCCUAACGACAUCAAUUAUCUUCUUGUUUUUUGGGCAUGACAGAUAGAUAGGACUUUUUGUGCUUGGAGCAUAUGGCGGGUUAUUAUCCUUUUUGUCUUUGGUGUACACGUUUUGGGCAAUGUAGCUAAAAAUUAUCUUGUACACAAGAUGAAAUAUGCACAACGGUCUAGUGUCCAUGUUUUUUAGUACUCUAGUUGGAAAUUGUCUUGUACGCAUAUGAAAUAUGCAUAGCAGAACACUACAAUUUGUUUCAUAAUCUUUCUGCAAAACACUACAUUAUGUUUUGUUCUGUUAAGUUUGAAAUGUGUAUGUUAAUCUUUCUGAUAUUGUAUUGUUUAUAGAUUCAAAAACUUAAA
Olea europaea var. sylvestris is the source of this 4098-nucleotide long non-coding RNA. RefSeq lists it as uncharacterized. The transcript is spliced from 2 exons. Lineage: Eukaryota; Viridiplantae; Streptophyta; Magnoliopsida; Lamiales; Oleaceae. The record is from RefSeq and is a predicted model, not a curated record.